Molecule: small nuclear RNA, 107 nt
Organism: Fukomys damarensis (Damara mole-rat)
Lineage: Eukaryota; Metazoa; Chordata; Mammalia; Rodentia; Bathyergidae
Source: Ensembl
GUGCUAGCUUCGGCAGCACAUAUACUAAAAUUGAAAGGAUACAGAGAAGAUUAGCAUGGCCCCUGUGCAAGGAUGACAUGCAAAUUAGUGAAGUGUUCCAUAUUUUC